UGGGGAAUAUUGGACAAUGGGCGAAAGCCUGAUCCAGCCAUGCCGCGUGUGUGAAGAAGGUCUUCGGAUUGUAAAGCACUUUAAGUUGGGAGGAAGGGCAGUAAGCGAAUACCUUGCUGUUUUGACGUUACCGACAGAAUAAGCACCGGCUAACUCUGUGCCAGCAGCCGCGGUAAUACAGAGGGUGCAAGCGUUAAUCGGAAUUACUGGGCGUAAAGCGCGCGUAGGUGGUUCGUUAAGUUGAAUGUGAAAGCCCCGGGCUCAACCUGGGAACUGCAUACAAAACUGGCGAGCUAGAGUAGGGCAGAGGGUGGUGGAAUUUCCUGUGUAGCGGAGAAAUGCGUAGAUAUAGGAAGGAACACCAGUAGCGAAGGCGACCACCUGGGAUCAUACUGACACUGAGGUGCGAAAGCGUGGGGAGCAAACAGG
RNAcentral lists this ribosomal RNA (429 nucleotides) under Pseudomonadota bacterium. RNAcentral describes it as "Proteobacteria bacterium partial 16S ribosomal RNA". It matches the Rfam family "Bacterial small subunit ribosomal RNA", at positions 355 to 776 of the family's 1533-position model. The record is from RNAcentral. Lineage: Bacteria; Pseudomonadati; Pseudomonadota.